Molecule: ribosomal RNA, 1325 nt
Filed under: metagenome
Description: bacterial LSU rRNA
Rfam family: Bacterial large subunit ribosomal RNA
Source: RNAcentral
AGUGGAUGGGGAGCAACCUAGUUGUGCGUGUGUAAAGGUAGUGCCAAGAAAAGCGAUGAUCAUGUUGAAAAUCAAUUCCCGGUACCCGAAACCGACACAGGUGGGCAAGUAGAGAAUACUAAGGGGCGCGAGGUAACUCUCUCCAAGGAACUCGGCAAAAUGACCCCGUAACUUAGCGAGAAGGGGUGCCACCGAGAGGUGGUCGCAGUGAAGAGGCCCAGGCGACUGUUUAGCAAAAACAUAGGUCUCUGCAAACUCGAAAGAGGAGGUAUAGGGGCUGACGCCUGCCCAGUGCCGGAAGGUUAAAGAAGUUGGUCAGUUUUAGGAUGAAGCUAGCGACUGAAGCCCCGGUGAACGGCGGCCGUAACUAUAACGGUCCUAAGGUAGCGAAAUUCCUUGUCGGGUAAGUUCCGACCCGCACGAAAGGCGUAACGAUCUGGGCGCUGUCUCGGAGAGAGGCUCGGCGAAAUAGGAUUGUCUGUGAAGAUACGGACUACCUGCAUUUGGACAGAAAGACCCUAUGAAGCUUUACUAUAGCUUGGAAUUGUGUUCGGGCUUCCUGUACGCAGGAUAGGUGGGAGGCGAAGAAGGUAUUCUUGUGGGGAUACUGGAGCCAACGGUGAGAUACCACUCUCAGGAGGCUAGAAUUCUAACUUAAUUAAGGACAGUUUCAGGUGGGUAGUUUGACUGGGGCGGUCGCCUCCAAAAAGGUAACGGAGGCGUACAAAGGUUCCCUCAGACUGGUUGGAAAUCAGUCGCAGAGUGCAAAGGCAGAAGGGAGCUUGACUGCGAGAAGUACAGUUCGAGCAGGGUGGAAACACGGUCUUAGUGAUCCGACGGUGCUGUGUGGAAGGGCCGUCGUUCAACGGAUAAAAGUUACUCUAGGAUAACAGGCUGAUCUCCCCCAAGAGUUCACAUCGACGGGGAGGUUUGGCACCUCAAUGUCGGCUCAUCGCAACCUGGGGCGGAGGUACGUCCCAAGGGUUGGGCUGUUCGCCCAUUAAAGCGGUACGUGAGCUGGGUUCAGAACGUCGUGAGACAGUUCGGUCCAUAUCCGAUGUAGGCGUGAGAAUAUUGAGAGGAGCCUUCCUUAGUACGAGAGGACCGGGAAGGACGCACCGCUGGUGUACCUGUUAUGAUGCCAAUUGUAAACGCAGGGUAGCCAAGUGCGGAGAGGAUAACCGCUGAAAGCAUCUAAGUGGGAAGCCCACCUCAAGAUGAGUAUUCUGGUGUAAGGUCACGGGAAGACGACCCGUAAAUAGGCACGAGGUGGAAGUGCAGAGAUGUAUGAAGCCGAAGUGUACUAAUAGACCGUCGGCUUGACC